GACGAACCGUACGAACGUUAUUCGGAAUCACUGGGCUUAAAGGGUGCGUAGGCUGCGCAGUAAGUUGGGUGUGAAAUCCCUCGGCUUAACCGAGGAAUUGCGCCCAAAACUACUGUGCUCGAGGGAGGUAGAGGUGAGCGGAACUUAGGGUGGAGCGGUGAAAUGCGUUGAUAUCCUAAGGAACACCGGUGGCGAAAGCGGCUCACUGGACCUCUUCUGACGCUGAGGCACGAAAGCUAGGGUAGCAAACGGG
RNAcentral lists this ribosomal RNA (253 nucleotides) under uncultured bacterium. Its description in RNAcentral is "partial 16S ribosomal RNA". It matches the Rfam family "Bacterial small subunit ribosomal RNA", at positions 524 to 776 of the family's 1533-position model. The record is from RNAcentral.